GCCAGUGUGGUAUAGUGGUUUGAACAUUGGACUGUGACUCUGGAGACAGGGUUCAAAUCCCUAUUCAGCCA
This 71-nucleotide transfer RNA is filed under the name Phrynosoma platyrhinos (Desert horned lizard). RNAcentral's name for it is "tRNA-OTHER". Lineage: Eukaryota; Metazoa; Chordata; Lepidosauria; Squamata; Phrynosomatidae. The record is from RNAcentral.